UACGGAGGGUGCGAGCGUUAAUCGGAAUUACUGGGCGUAAAGCGCACGUAGGUGGCUGUUUAAGUCGGGUGUGAAAUCCCUGGGCUCAACCUGGGAAUUGCAUUUGAUACUGAGCGGCUAGAGUACGGUAGAGGGAGGUAGAAUUCCUAGUGUAGCGGUGAAAUGCGUAGAUAUUAGGAGGAAUACCGGUGGCGAAGGCGGCCUCCUGGACUGAUACUGACACUGAGGUGCGAAAGCGUGGGGAGCAAACAGG
Molecule: ribosomal RNA, 253 nt
Filed under: uncultured bacterium
Lineage: Bacteria
Description: partial 16S ribosomal RNA
Rfam family: Bacterial small subunit ribosomal RNA
Source: RNAcentral